AGCCCAGAGCCUGAAUCAGUGUGUGUGUUAGUGGAAGCGUCUGGAAAGGCGCGCGAUACAGGGUGACAGCCCCGUACACAAAAAUGCACAUACUGUGAGCUCGAUGAGUAGGGCGGGACACGUGGUAUCCUGUCUGAAUAUGGGGGGACCAUCCUCCAAGGCUAAAUACUCCUGACUGACCGAUAGUGAACCAGUACCGUGAGGGAAAGGCGAAAAGAACCCCGGCGAGGGGAGUGAAAAAGAACCUGAAACCGUGUACGUACAAGCAGUGGGAGCCUCUUAAUGGGGUGACUGCGUACCUUUUGUAUAAUGGGUCAGCGACUUAUAUUCUGUAGCAAGGUUAACCGAAUAGGGGAGCCGAAGGGAAACCGAGUCUUAACUGGGCGUUAAGUUGCAGGGUAUAGACCCGAAACCCGGUGAUCUAGCCAUGGGCAGGUUGAAGGUUGGGUAACACUAACUGGAGGACCGAACCGACUAAUGUUGAAAAAUUAGCGGAUGACUUGUGGCUGGGGGUGAAAGGCCAAUCAAACCGGGAGAUAGCUGGUUCUCCCCGAAAGCUAUUUAGGUAGCGCCUCGUGAAUUCAUCUCCGGGGGUAGAGCACUGUUUCGGCAAGGGGGUCAUCCCGACUUACCAACCCGAUGCAAACUGCGAAUACCGGAGAAUGUUAUCACGGGAGACACACGGCGGGUGCUAACGUCCGUCGUGAAGAGGGAAACAACCCAGACCGCCAGCUAAGGUCCCAAAGUCAUGGUUAAGUGGGAAACGAUGUGGGAAGGCCCAGACAGCCAGGAUGUUGGCUUAGAAGCAGCCAUCAUUUAAAGAAAGCGUAAUAGCUCACUGGUCGAGUCGGCCUGCGCGGAAGAUGUAACGGGGCUAAACCAUGCACCGAAGCUGCGGCAGCGACACUAUGUGUUGUUGGGUAGGGGAGCGUUCUGUAAGCCUGUGAAGGUGUACUGUGAGGUAUGCUGGAGGUAUCAGAAGUGCGAAUGCUGACAUAAGUAACGAUAAAGCGGGUGAAAAGCCCGCUCGCCGGAAGACCAAGGGUUCCUGUCCAACGUUAAUCGGGGCAGGGUGAGUCGACCCCUAAGGCGAGGCCGAAAGGCGUAGUCGAUGGGAAACAGGUUAAUAUUCCUGUACUUGGUGUUACUGCGAAGGGGGGACGGAGAAGGCUAUGUUGGCCGGGCGACGGUUGUCCCGGUUUAAGCGUGUAGGCUGGUUUUCCAGGCAAAUCCGGAAAAUCAAGGCUGAGGCGUGAUGACGAGGCACUACGGUGCUGAAGCAACAAAUGCCCUGCUUCCAGGAAAAGCCUCUAAGCAUCAGGUAACAUCAAAUCGUACCCCAAACCGACACAGGUGGUCAGGUAGAGAAUACCAAGGCGCUUGAGAGAACUCGGGUGAAGGAACUAGGCAAAAUGGUGCCGUAACUUCGGGAGAAGGCACGCUGAUAUGUAGGUGAAGUCCCUUGCGGAUGGAGCUGAAAUCAGUCGAAGAUACCAGCUGGCUGCAACUGUUUAUUAAAAACACAGCACUGUGCAAACACGAAAGUGGACGUAUACGGUGUGACGCCUGCCCGGUGCCGGAAGGUUAAUUGAUGGGGUUAGCGGUAACGCGAAGCUCUUGAUCGAAGCCCCGGUAAACGGCGGCCGUAACUAUAACGGUCCUAAGGUAGCGAAAUUCCUUGUCGGGUAAGUUCCGACCUGCACGAAUGGCGUAAUGAUGGCCAGGCUGUCUCCACCCGAGACUCAGUGAAAUUGAACUCGCUGUGAAGAUGCAGUGUACCCGCGGCAAGACGGAAAGACCCCGUGAACCUUUACUAUAGCUUGACACUGAACAUUGAGCCUUGAUGUGUAGGAUAGGUGGGAGGCUUUGAAGUGUGGACGCCAGUCUGCAUGGAGCCGGCCUUGAAAUACCACCCUUUAAUGUUUGAUGUUCUAACGUUGGCCCCUGAUCGGGGUUGCGGACAGUGUCUGGUGGGUAGUUUGACUGGGGCGGUCUCCUCCUAAAGAGUAACGGAGGAGCACGAAGGUUGGCUAAUCCUGGUCGGACAUCAGGAGGUUAGUGCAAUGGCAUAAGCCAGCUUGACUGCGAGCGUGACGGCGCGAGCAGGUGCGAAAGCAGGUCAUAGUGAUCCGGUGGUUCUGAAUGGAAGGGCCAUCGCUCAACGGAUAAAAGGUACUCCGGGGAUAACAGGCUGAUACCGCCCAAGAGUUCAUAUCGACGGCGGUGUUUGGCACCUCGAUGUCGGCUCAUCACAUCCUGGGGCUGAAGUAGGUCCCAAGGGUAUGGCUGUUCGCCAUUUAAAGUGGUACGCGAGCUGGGUUUAGAACGUCGUGAGACAGUUCGGUCCCUAUCUGCCGUGGGCGCUGGAGAACUGAGGGGGGCUGCUCCUAGUACGAGAGGACCGGAGUGGACGCAUCACUGGUGUUCGGGUUGUCAUGCCAAUGGCACUGCCCGGUAGCUAAAUGCGGAAGAGAUAAGUGCUGAAAGCAUCUAAGCACGAAACUUGCCCCGAGAUGAGUUCUCCCUGACUC
This 2531-nucleotide ribosomal RNA is filed under the name Escherichia coli. Its description in RNAcentral is "bacterial LSU rRNA". It matches the Rfam family "Bacterial large subunit ribosomal RNA", at positions 296 to 2821 of the family's 2925-position model. The record is from RNAcentral. Lineage: Bacteria; Pseudomonadati; Pseudomonadota; Gammaproteobacteria; Enterobacterales; Enterobacteriaceae.